RNAcentral lists this ribosomal RNA (117 nucleotides) under Candidatus Latescibacterota bacterium. Lineage: Bacteria; Pseudomonadati; Candidatus Latescibacterota. The record is from RNAcentral.
GCCGGUAGCCAUAGCGGAAGGGAAACACCUCUUCCCAUUUCGAACAGAGCAGUUAAGCCUUCCUGCGCCGAUGGUACUGCUGGGGUCACCCAGUGGAAGAGUAGGUCGUUGCCGGCG